This 343-nucleotide long non-coding RNA is filed under the name Elaeis guineensis (African oil palm). RNAcentral describes it as "long non-coding RNA (EGUI_LNC071729)". The record is from RNAcentral. Lineage: Eukaryota; Viridiplantae; Streptophyta; Magnoliopsida; Arecales; Arecaceae.
AGUGGAGGCAUACAUUAUGAAUGAAUGUCUGACAUUCUGCUCUAUAUACCUUCAGAGAGUGGAGACCAAAUUUAGGAGACCACAAUGAAAUGUCGAUGUUGACGACAUUCUGAUCGAUGGAUUGUCCGUGUUCUUCAAUGUUGCCUGACCAUAUGGUAAGAAAGAUUUUUAAAUGUUAACACCAUAAGAAACAAACGACAUGCAUUGGUAUGUGCUAAACAAUUGCGAGGAGGUGGAAGCGUACAUGAUGUGAGUAUACAUAUUUAAUUUUUUUUUGUUGAUAUAUGCAUGAAUGUACGUACUCGUAGACUCUAAAUUAAAAUAUAUAUGUUAUUACUAUAUC